Molecule: ribosomal RNA, 500 nt
Filed under: uncultured bacterium
Lineage: Bacteria
Description: partial 16S ribosomal RNA
Rfam family: Bacterial small subunit ribosomal RNA
Source: RNAcentral
AUUGAACGCUGGCGGCAUGCCUUACACAUGCAGGUCGAACGGCAGCACGGGAGCAAUCCUGGUGGCGAGUGGCGAACGGGUGAGUAAAGUAUCGGAACGUGCCCAGUCGUGGGGGAUAACGUAGCGAAAGUUACGCUAAUACCGCAUACGAUCUAUGGAUGAAAGCGGGGGGUCGCAAGACCUCGCGCGAUUGGAGCGGCCGAUAUCAGAUUAGGUAGUUGGUGGGGUAAAGGCUCACCAAGCCGACGAUCUGUAGCUGGUCUGAGAGGACGACCAGCCACACUGGGACUGAGACACGGCCCAGACUCCUACGGGAGGCAGCAGUGGGGAAUUUUGGACAAUGGGCGAAAGCCUGAUCCAGCCAUGCCGCGUGCAGGAUGAAGGCCUUCGGGUUGUAAACUGCUUUUGUACGGAACGAAAAGGUUUGGGCUAAUAAGCUGAGCUCAUGACGGUACCGUAAGAAUAAGCACCGGCUAACUACGUGCCAGCAGCCGCAGUAA